AGAUUGAACGCUGGCGGAAUGCUUUACACAUGCAAGUCGAACGGCAGCACGGGGGCAACCCUGGUGGCGAGUGGCGAACGGGUGAGUAAUACAUCGGAACGUGCCCAGUCGUGGGGGGAUAACUACGCGAAAGCGUAGCUAAUACCGCAUACGAUCUACGGAUGAAAGCGGGGGAUCGCAAGACCUCGCGCGAUUGGAGCGGCCGAUGGCAGAUUAGGUAGUUGGUGGGGUAAAGGCGUCACCAAGCCUUCGAUCUGUAGCUGGUCUGAGAGGAUGAUCAGUCACACCGGAACUGAGACACGGUCCGGACUCCUACGGGAGGCAGCAGUGGGGAAUUUGGACAAUGGGGAAACCCUGAUCAGCCAUGCGCGUGAGUGAAGAAGGCCUUCGGGUGUAAAGCUCUUUCAGCCGGAACGAAACGGUUAACGGUUAAUAACCGUGACUACGUGACGGUACCGGAAGAAGAAGCACCGGCUAACUACGUAGCCAGCAGCCGAC
RNAcentral lists this ribosomal RNA (498 nucleotides) under uncultured soil bacterium. RNAcentral describes it as "bacterial SSU rRNA". It matches the Rfam family "Bacterial small subunit ribosomal RNA", at positions 26 to 518 of the family's 1533-position model. The record is from RNAcentral.